GAUGAACGCUGGCGGCGUGCCUAAUACAUGCAAGUCGAGCGAACAGACGAGGAGCUUGCUCCUCUGACGUUAGCGGCGGACGGGUGAGAAACACGUGGAUAACCUACCUAUAAGACUGGGAUAACUUCGGGAAACCGGAGCUAAUACCGGAUAAUAUAUUGAACCGCAUGGUUCAAUAGUGAAAGACGGUUUUGCUGUCACUUAUAGAUGGAUCCGCGCCGCAUUAGCUAGUUGGUAAGGUAACGGCUUACCAAGGCAACGAUGCGUAGCCGACCUGAGAGGGUGAUCGGCCACACUGGAACUGAGACACGGUCCAGACUCCUACGGGAGGCAGCAGUAGGGAAUCUUCCGCAAUGGGCGAAAGCCUGACGGAGCAACGCCGCGUGAGUGGUGAAGGUCUUCGGAUCGUAAAACUCUGUUAUUAGGGAAGAACAAAUGUGUAAGUAACUAUGCACGUCUUGACGGUACCUAAUCAGAAAGCCACGGCUAACUACGUG
This 497-nucleotide ribosomal RNA is filed under the name uncultured bacterium. RNAcentral's name for it is "partial 16S ribosomal RNA". It matches the Rfam family "Bacterial small subunit ribosomal RNA", at positions 28 to 507 of the family's 1533-position model. The record is from RNAcentral.